CAGUAGCCGCGGUAAAACGGGGGGGGCAAGUGUUAUUCGGAAUGACUGGGCGUAAAGGGCACGUAGGCGGUGAAAAGGGUGGAAAGUGAAAGUCGCCAAAACACUGGCGGGGUGCUUUCUUGACCAUUUCACUUGAGUGAGAUAGGGGAGAGUGGAAUUUCGUGUGGAGGGAUCAAAUCCUAAGAUAUACGAAGGAACGCCAACCGCGAAGGCAGCUCUCUGGGUCCCCACUGACGCUGGGGUGCGAAAGCAUGGGGAGCAAACAGGAUCAGAGACCCCAGUAGUCCCUGUCUCUUAUACC
RNAcentral lists this ribosomal RNA (301 nucleotides) under uncultured bacterium. RNAcentral describes it as "partial 16S ribosomal RNA". It matches the Rfam family "Bacterial small subunit ribosomal RNA", at positions 509 to 808 of the family's 1533-position model. The record is from RNAcentral.